ACUACCAAAAGUUAAGCUCCAAACUUUAGUAGGAAAAACACAAUUACAAAAGAGAUGACAUUGAUCUUCUUCAGUUCUAUUAAAUAAUGGACAUAACUUAUCAACAGAGACAGUUCAUUAAUAUGUAGUUCAGUUUUUUAAUUUUUAAUUUUUUAUAAUUAGAGGUGAUAAAAUCACCUGUAAGUGAGGCUUAAACAAACAACAGCAAAAUUUUGUUUUGUAAAAUUACGUUAUUGUCUUUAACAUUUUUUUAUGAUAGAAGACAUAAAUAUUUUUUUGGAAAAAUUACACUUAGAGUAUACUUUCAAUACUUAAUUAUAUAUUGAGACAACACUUUUUAAACAUUUCAAGAAAGGACAUUUUUAAAUUCUGCGUAAGAUGACGUCAUGUCAGAUUUUUCCGUUCGAAACGGAGUCCCGUAUUUUGUUAAAUAGCGAUCGGUGGUGAUUCGAAUCAUUCGAAUAAUAUUUUUUGUUUUCUCGUAUGUUUUUCUUUCUCUCUGAAGUUUAUCUCUUCUGAUUUAUAUUUCAUCAUCUCCCUCAAUUAUCUCUCUCCAUAAUUUCUAUUCGAAUCAUUCAAGCUUUCUUCGAAGGUAAGUGUUUAUCUCAUGUUUAUCUCUCUGAAUUUUAUGUGUUCCAAUUUAGAUUUUCGAAGUGUUUGUGUGUUUUUGAAUUUGUUUUGGUUUUGAUUUUGAAAGAGUCUCUGAUUUUUCAAUUUUUGAUUCGUGCAUUUAGUUUUUUUGGAUUGUUCUUGUUUUUUCAGUCACGGUUUUUUAGUUUUGAAGAUUUUGAUUUGGUUUUGAGCUUAUUUGAUCGAGUGUUUGGUGAAGGCGAUUUUUCGUUGUGCUGCUUUUGGUUUUCAUUGAAAUUCCUUUUGUUUUUUGCAGUAUAGUUAUCAUAUAUAUUAGUUUAUGUAGCAUCAGUUCAUAGAAUCGUACAAAAUCAAUUGGCAUAAGUUUUUUUGGGGGGGGCACCCCCAUAAACAUUUAAUAUUUUUCAAUGUAAUACGUGUUAGAAAUGUGCCCUAAAGCCAAUCAUAUGAUGAUCUAGUUUAAUAUAAAGGGAAAAGAUUAUUGUUUAAAGCCGUCUCAUAUAAAUGUUAUAUGCUUAAACGAUAAGUCCAAGGAAUAUGUAAUUGGGAGAAUGUGAUCUAAAGAAGUUAGAUUCAUGAGACCAUUCUCUUUAGUAUACAUAUCCUAAAUGUUCUUGAUCAUAGGAUUGCCAAUUGGACAUUGAUAGUCCGUUAUGAUCAGUACAUGAUAUGUCUUCUUUUAGAGAGAGUGAUUGGUCUCGAGUCAUUGGUGUGACUGACACCAAGACAAGCAUGUAGGUGCUCAAUAGAGCAUGGGUUCAUUGAACACGAUCAACAAUGAGUUCUCAUACUCAUGUCACAUGAGAACUCAUGGUUGGGAUAAUGCAAAGUAGUCAUUUGAGCAUCAUAGUUGUCUUAUGGUUAGGUCCUUGAUCUUUGACUAUGUCAAAGUCAUUCCGUCAAAGGGUGUCCACGACAUAGUUGGGGUUAAGCCACUUAGUCAUGGAGGCAAGUGAAUGCAUAACAAGGGAUCUCUAACCUUCAAACCAUUUGAGGGAGAAUUCUCUAUGAUAUGAUUAAGAAUCUUUGGCCAGAGUAUGAAUGAGAUUUAGAAAGUCGUUCCAAAUCAUGUUCAAGGUAAUCAUAUAAGUAAGAGAAUCACAUUGUAUAGUAGACAUGAAUAAACUAUCAAACCAAAACAAUGUGGUCAAGAGUAUUGUAGUAGAGAAAGACCGUAUUGCAUUGUAAUCCCAAACUGAAUAGGUUCUCCACCAUUUCUGAUU
Molecule: long non-coding RNA, 1814 nt
Filed under: Malus domestica (apple)
Lineage: Eukaryota; Viridiplantae; Streptophyta; Magnoliopsida; Rosales; Rosaceae
Description: long non-coding RNA (MDOM_LNC010571)
Source: RNAcentral